UACGGAGGGUGCAAGCGUUAUCCGGAUUCACUGGGCUUAAAGGGAGCGUAGGUGGGUUGGUAAGUCAGUGGUGAAAGCCCUGGGCUCAACCCAGGAAGUGCAUUCGAGACUGGCGCGCUUGAAUAUGGAAGAGGGUCGCGGAAUUCCCGGUGUAGAGGUGAAAUUCGUAGAUAUCGGGAGGAACACCAGUGGCGAAGGCGGCGACCUGGGCCAAUAUUGACGCUGAGGUGCGAAAGCGUGGGGAGCAAACAGG
RNAcentral lists this ribosomal RNA (253 nucleotides) under uncultured bacterium. Its description in RNAcentral is "partial 16S ribosomal RNA". It matches the Rfam family "Bacterial small subunit ribosomal RNA", at positions 524 to 776 of the family's 1533-position model. The record is from RNAcentral.